Gallus gallus (chicken) is the source of this 2244-nucleotide long non-coding RNA. NCBI's taxonomy places the organism in Eukaryota, Metazoa, Chordata, Aves, Galliformes, Phasianidae. The record is from Ensembl.
AAUCUUUUUUUAGAGUUCCCUCCUUGGUGAUGCUUUCUCCUGUGAACCUGGGCUCUUCUGGUACAGGAGCAUGCCAGGCUGACAUAACCAGCAGACAGAAGAGAGGGAAGCAGAAGGGUAUUACUGAUCUUGUCUCUUCAGUGACAGCAACAGGACCCAAGGUCCACAAAAUAUAAUUUAAAAAUCUAAUUAAAGUGACUUCUCUGCUGCUGUAAAUCUGGGCAUAUUCAUCCGACCGGAGGCACAGGAGAAAGGCCACAUAAUGGUGAUGGUAUUCUUUUUCUGCUGGUUUUCGUCUAUUUAUUAACUACUCAGCACUUUAAUGUUUUGAAGUAUUUCUGAGACUUGAAUAGCAAAUGUAUCUGUAAAGCUACAAGGGGAAAUGCAUUUUUCUAAACUUCAUGUUGAAAUAUUAUGUCCAUGGUAGGUCAAGAAAGAUUCAAAAUGUAGAGUCCUUCACUCUACUUUAAAUGAGACCAAGCUCCAUGAACAGCUCCAUUAAAAGCCAGUAGGGAAAGAGGCCAUACUCAAAGACAAGGUAGAAAUCAGACACACGAUUGUCACAGAAAAUAGUAUUGGAGAUCCACAGUGCUGUGGCUUCCAGCUGUGUGCUGCCCUCUCUGAACAUGUUCUACUGAUGAAAGAGAGUAUAUGGGCAUUUCCUACGAACCCAUGAAAACCCUGCAGCUUAGCUUGAACCACUUCCCUCAACUAAAGUUAAGCCAUCGUUUCUUUUUCCCAGCUUCAUGACAGUGGAAUAGAGCUCAGUUCUCUCUGAACUAACGCUGAGCACUCACUUGGGUGAUCUCAUCAAUACCUGUGAGUUUUCUGAACCAGCUAACAAUGCUGUUCCAUCUGAUUGCAGGUGCUGUUAUUUCUUAGCAAUAGAAGGGAUAACAGUGGACUGGAAAUCUGGGGGGGGGGGGGGGGGGGGGGGGGGAAGGAACAAACAACAUAGGAAUGUGGGGCUUGGAAAUGCUUUGAUUAAGUUAAUUUCAGUUAGAAAGAAGAUUAAGGCUUUUAAUCAUACUUCAAAAUUAUGUUUCAAACCUGAAUGAGUUAGAUAUGCAGUUUUAGGUUCGGGGUUGAAUGUGAAUACUAACACCAGGAAUCACACUAUUAGUUUAGUUUUGGGAGAAGCUCUGGAUCUUGAGAGUUGGCCCUAAUGCUGCUGUAACCAUGUGCUGUAUCUCCACUCUUACCAAAAUGAGUGCUUUUCUACUCUCAGAUCACAGCUGUCACUCAUUCCUUUGAUCCAAGACUUUCAAAGAGUAGGGGAAAUUUUAUUAUUUGACUUCAGGGCUUGGAUUCCAACAGUGAGAGAUAUCAAGACAGAACAAGGAGAAUUUGGAUACGUAGCAUUAAUGCAAUCUGAUAACUAUAACAGUGUGAUCAAACAUUAUCAGAUCGAGCAUGUCUUCCACUGAAUUUAUAUUCAUGUUUUGAGGAGUACAUUCAGUAUAGUGUUACAGAAUUUCACUGCAAAGUUUAAUCUAAAAAAAUCUGUAUUAAUCUGGGAAAACUAAGUUCUGGAUUAUUAUUAUUCUGGAAUAAUGCUUUUUCCUCUGGAGUUUCUUUUAUGUUAAGGAAUAGCGGGCAGAACGUUAUCACUUACAGAUGCCUCAAUUCAGGUAUUGGAAUGUAAUUGUCACUAGUUCUGCAAAGUAAUCUUAAAGAGUCUGAAUACUGCUGGCAGGUACUAGAAACAUUGGAAACUCAGCACCACAGAAUCCAAUUUUACCAACCUUGAAUUAUUCUCUUGGUACAACGCAAUCUACUUCUAUAAGUCUUUCAGACAAGGAGGUCUAACCCACAGCUGUCCUCUCGACAAAUGGUGGGAACUUUCACAUCAGUGGGGUUUAUUUCCAAACAUCAGAGCCACCAUGCUUAGGGGAUAUGAGAAAUUUUGCCCAAAGUUCUGAGUCUGUCACCUGGCUGUUUGCACUGUUAACUUGAAAGAUAAACUUGAGAGACUAAACCUGGGAGCUUUCUCAGGAGUCACUUGAUGCCUGUAUAGAAGGUUCAAGUUGAUCUCUGGAAUAUCACUGAAAUUAACCUCACUGUAAUUAUUUGGUGUUUUCACUGGCAGACCCCAAGUUAUGAGAUAUACUAAUUAAGCAUCAUGAAGCUGCUGGGUGAAUAUCCUCAGGCAAAAGUAAAAUGCUUUUCAUUUGCUCUAGGAACACUUAUCAGUUUUCAUAAAUGCCAGUUGUCUGAAUGAAUAAAUUAAGAAAUGUCUCAGCU